CUACGGGGGGCUGCAGUGGGGAAUAUUGGACAAUGGGCGAAAGCCUGAUCCAGCCAUGCCGCGUGUGUGAAGAAGGCCUUCGGGUCGUAAAGCACUUUCAGUGGGGAAGAAAGCCUUGGGGCUAAUACCCUCGAGGAAGGACAUCACCCACAGAAGAAGCACCGGCUAACUCCGUGCCAGCAGCCGCGGUAAUACGGAGGGUGCGAGCGUUAAUCGGAAUUACUGGGCGUAAAGCGCGCGUAGGCGGUCUGAUAAGCCGGUUGUGAAAGCCCCGGGCUCAACCUGGGAACGGCAUCCGGAACUGUCAGGCUAGAGUGCAGGAGAGGAAGGUAGAAUUCCCGGUGUAGCGGUGAAAUGCGUAGAGAUCGGGAGGAAUACCAGUGGCGAAGGCGGCCUUCUGGACUGACACUGACGCUGAGGUGCGAAAGCGUGGGUAGCAAACAGGAUUAGAUACCCUGGUAGUC
Molecule: ribosomal RNA, 464 nt
Filed under: Vreelandella stevensii
Lineage: Bacteria; Pseudomonadati; Pseudomonadota; Gammaproteobacteria; Oceanospirillales; Halomonadaceae
Description: partial 16S ribosomal RNA
Rfam family: Bacterial small subunit ribosomal RNA
Source: RNAcentral